AGAGUUUGAUCCUGGCUCAGGAUGAACGCUGGCGGCGUGCCUAACACAUGCAAGUCGAGCGAGAAUUCUUUAACUGAUUCUUCGGAUGAUUUUAAAGAAGGAAAGCGGCGGACGGGUGAGUAACGCGUAGGCAACCUGCCUCUCACAGAGGGAUAGCCAUUGGAAACGAUGAUUAAAACCUCAUAACGCCACUCCGGGACAUCCCGGAAUGGCCAAAGAUUUAUCGGUGAGAGAUGGGCCUGCGUCUGAUUAGCUAGUUGGUGAGGUAACGGCUCACCAAGGCGACGAUCAGUAGCCGACCUGAGAGGGUGAUCGGCCACAUUGGAACUGAGACACGGUCCAAACUCCUACGGGAGGCAGCAGUGGGGAAUAUUGCACAAUGGGCGAAAGCCUGAUGCAGCAACGCCGCGUGAAGGAUGAAGGCCUUCGGGUCGUAAACUUCUGUCCUUGGGGAAGAAGAACUGACGGUACCCUUGGAGGAAGCCCCGGCUAACUACGUGCCCAGCAGCCGCGGU
Molecule: ribosomal RNA, 515 nt
Filed under: uncultured bacterium
Lineage: Bacteria
Description: bacterial SSU rRNA
Rfam family: Bacterial small subunit ribosomal RNA
Source: RNAcentral